UCCCUCUGGCAAGUCGCCAUUACAACCCGGUGUUUGCAACUAUCAUUAUAACAGUCCUGUUAGGGCCAAGAGAACUACUUAUCAAGUGCUCAAGUGACAUCAUGGAAACUCUUCAAACUACCACGGCUCAGAUGGUCCAGGCUUUGCAUCAGGAAACUGCUUUAAUAUAAAGAAUAGGUGCUCUUCACAUCAACAUCCACCAUAAUUAUUAAUAAACCAGGUCAAAAGAAUAUGCCCUUGAUGACGCCACUGCUUGGACUGAUGGGACAAAAAAAUGGAUGGAGCCAGGCCAGAUCUAAAGCUAUUACAUAAACACAUCAUGCAUGUUGUACCUUCACUUGCAUGGGCUGUGUGAAAGAAAAAUGCAGGAAACAAUUAAGUAAAACAGAUGGAAAAUGA
Molecule: long non-coding RNA, 399 nt
Organism: Bombina bombina (fire-bellied toad)
Lineage: Eukaryota; Metazoa; Chordata; Amphibia; Anura; Bombinatoridae
Exons: 2
Source: RefSeq, a predicted model, not a curated record